UACGUAGGGUGCAAGCGUUGUCCGGAAUCACUGGGCGUAAAGGGCGUGUAGGCGGUCCGCUAAGUCUGAUGUGAAAGCCCGGGGCUCACCCCCGGAAGUGCAUUGGAAACUGGCGGACUCGAGUCCCGGAGAGGAGAGUGGAAUUCCUGGUGUAGCGGUGAAAUGCGUAGAUAUCAGGAGGAACACCGGUGGCGAAGGCGGCUCUCUGGACGGUGACUGACGCUGAGACGCGAAAGCUAGGGGAGCAAACGGG
This 253-nucleotide ribosomal RNA is filed under the name uncultured bacterium. Its description in RNAcentral is "partial 16S ribosomal RNA". It matches the Rfam family "Bacterial small subunit ribosomal RNA", at positions 524 to 776 of the family's 1533-position model. The record is from RNAcentral.